ACCACAGCUCUUACGUGUGUGCUUUCCUUUGCAGGCUUGGAAAGAUUUUGGAGAUUGAAGAGGUUGUAGAGGCUCUGAUGGAAGGAAUAGUGACCAACCAGAAAAUGGUUUUUGUUCCAUCAAAUCAGAGUGUUGCUUUACUGCUUGAAAGAGUGUUUCCAGAACGUGCCCUGAAUGUUCUGAAGAAGAUGACCGAUGUCAAGUUUGAUGCAAUCAUUGGGCAGGGAAGCACCCAGU
This is a long non-coding RNA of Lepidothrix coronata (blue-crowned manakin), 237 nucleotides long. RefSeq lists it as uncharacterized. Lineage: Eukaryota; Metazoa; Chordata; Aves; Passeriformes; Pipridae. The transcript has 2 exons. The record is from RefSeq and is a predicted model, not a curated record.